RNAcentral lists this ribosomal RNA (649 nucleotides) under uncultured bacterium. RNAcentral describes it as "bacterial SSU rRNA". It matches the Rfam family "Bacterial small subunit ribosomal RNA", at positions 43 to 740 of the family's 1533-position model. The record is from RNAcentral.
CAGGCCUAACACAUGCAAGUCGAGCGCGCCUUCGGGUGAGCGGCGGACGGGUUAGUAACGCGUGGGAACGUGCCCUUCUCUACGGAAUAGCCUCUGGAAACGGAGAGUAAUACCGUAUACGCCCUUUGGGGGAAAGAUUCAUCGGAGAAGGAUCGGCCCGCGUUAGAUUAGGUAGUUGGUGGGGUAACGGCCUACCAAGCCUACGAUCUAUAGCUGGUUUUAGAGGAUGAUCAGCAACACUGGGACUGAGACACGGCCCAGACUCCUACGGGAGGCAGCAGUGGGGAAUCUUAGACAAUGGGGGCAACCCUGAUCUAGCCAUGCCGCGUGAGUGAUGAAGGCCUUAGGGUCGUAAAGCUCUUUCGCCUGUGAUGAUAAUGACAGUAGCAGGUAAAGAAACCCCGGCUAACUCCGUGCCAGCAGCCGCGGUAAUACGGAGGGGGUUAGCGUUGUUCGGAAUUACUGGGCGUAAAGCGCGCGUAGGCGGAUUAGAAAGUUGGGGGUGAAAUCCCGGGGCUCAACCUCGGAACUGCCUCCAAAACUACUAGUCUAGAGUUCGAGAGAGGUGAGUGGAAUUCCGAGUGUAGAGGUGAAAUUCGUAGAUAUUCGGAGGAACACCAGUGGCGAAGGCGGCUCACUGGCUCGAUAC